This 75-nucleotide transfer RNA is filed under the name Bacteroidia bacterium 43-41. RNAcentral's name for it is "tRNA-Arg". It matches the Rfam family "tRNA". From Rfam's summary of the family: Transfer RNA (tRNA) molecules are approximately 80 nucleotides in length. Their secondary structure includes four short double-helical elements and three loops (D, anti-codon, and T loops). Further hydrogen bonds mediate the characteristic L-shaped molecular structure. tRNAs have two regions of fundamental functional importance: the anti-codon, which is responsible for specific mRNA codon recognition, and the 3' end, to which the tRNAs corresponding amino acid is attached (by aminoacyl-tRNA synthetases). tRNAs cope with the degeneracy of the genetic code in two manners: having more than one tRNA (with a specific anti-codon) for a particular amino acid; and 'wobble' base-pairing, i.e. permitting non-standard base-pairing at the 3rd anti-codon position. The record is from RNAcentral. RNAcentral also lists the same sequence under 1 other name. Lineage: Bacteria; Pseudomonadati; Bacteroidota; Bacteroidia.
GGCGCGGUAGUUCAAUGGAUAGAAUAGAAGUUUCCUAAACUUUAGAUCCGGGUUCGAUUCCCGGCCGGGCUACAA